GAUUUAUUAGAACUAUAAGACCAGAGGAUAUAAAUAAUGAUAAAACUCCUGAAGACAAUUUUGAAGCUUUCACUGGAAAGGGAUUUACUUUACGGAAAGGAAAAAUUAGAGAUUGAAUUCGGAAGCAGCACCCAGAAAAUUACUUCUGUAAUAUACUUGUAUUUAUAAACCCUUAUUAAAUUAACUCCAUUUU
Parasteatoda tepidariorum (common house spider) is the source of this 193-nucleotide non-coding RNA. Lineage: Eukaryota; Metazoa; Arthropoda; Arachnida; Araneae; Theridiidae. The record is from RefSeq and is a predicted model, not a curated record.